CGGGAAGAGCUCAAAUUUAAAAUCUGGCGGUGUAUUCCGUCCGAGUUGUAGUCUAGAGAAGCGCUUUCUGUGCCGGACCGUGUACAAGUCCCUUGGAACAGGGCGUCGUAGAGGGUGAGAAUCCCGUCUUUGACACGGACCCCCGGUGCUGUGUGAUGCGCUCUCGAA
Molecule: ribosomal RNA, 168 nt
Filed under: Clavariaceae sp.
Lineage: Eukaryota; Fungi; Basidiomycota; Agaricomycetes; Agaricales; Clavariaceae
Description: partial large subunit ribosomal RNA
Rfam family: Eukaryotic large subunit ribosomal RNA
Source: RNAcentral